GACGAACGCUGGCGGCGUGCUUAACACAUGCAAGUCGAACGGAAAGGCCCUGCUUGCAGGGUACUCGAGUGGCGAACGGGUGAGUAACACGUGGGCGAUCUGCCCUGCACUUCGGGAUAAGCCUGGGAAACUGGGUCUAAUACCGGAUAUGACCUUCCAUGUAGUGUGGGGGGUGGAAAGAUUUAUCGGUGUGGGAUGAGCCCGCGGCCUAUCAGCUUGUUGGUGGGGUAAUGGCCUACCAAGGCGUCGACGGGUAGCCGGCCUGAGAGGGUGGACGGCCACAUUGGGACUGAGAUACGGCCCAGACUCCUACGGGAGGCAGCAGUGGGGAAUAUUGCACAAUGGGCGGAAGCCUUAUGCAGCGACGCCGCGUGGGGGAUGACGGCCUUCGGGUUGUAAACCUCUUUCGACAGGGACGAAGCUUCGGUGACGGUACCUGUAGAAGAAGCACCGGCUAACUACGUG
This 465-nucleotide ribosomal RNA is filed under the name uncultured bacterium. RNAcentral's name for it is "partial 16S ribosomal RNA". It matches the Rfam family "Bacterial small subunit ribosomal RNA", at positions 28 to 507 of the family's 1533-position model. The record is from RNAcentral.